AAGGAUUUAAGUUACAAAAACUAUUAGCCUUCAAAGCUAAAAAUAAAGAAGGACGCUUUAAGCCUUA
This 67-nucleotide transfer RNA is filed under the name Byrrhinus sp. BYR01. RNAcentral's name for it is "tRNA-Trp". The record is from RNAcentral. Lineage: Eukaryota; Metazoa; Arthropoda; Insecta; Coleoptera; Limnichidae.